Molecule: transfer RNA, 70 nt
Filed under: Sphaerodactylus townsendi
Lineage: Eukaryota; Metazoa; Chordata; Lepidosauria; Squamata; Sphaerodactylidae
Description: tRNA-Ala
Source: RNAcentral
GGACCAUGGCUCAGUGGCAGAGCAUUUGCUCAGCAUGCUGAAGGCCUAGGUUCAGUUCCCGGCAUCUCCA